UACGUAGGGGGCAAGCGUUGUCCGGAAUCAUUGGGCGUAAAGCGCGCGUAGGCGGUCCGGUAAGUCCGCUGUGAAAGUCAAAGGCUCAACCUUUGAAUGCCGGUGGAUACUGUCGGACUCGAGUCCGGAAGAGGCGAGUGGAAUUCCUGGUGUAGCGGUGGAAUGCGCAGAUAUCAGGAGGAACACCGGUGGCGAAGGCGGAUCUCUGGGCCGAUACUGACGCUGAGGAGCGAAAGCGUGGGGAGCGAACAGG
RNAcentral lists this ribosomal RNA (253 nucleotides) under uncultured bacterium. Its description in RNAcentral is "partial 16S ribosomal RNA". It matches the Rfam family "Bacterial small subunit ribosomal RNA", at positions 524 to 776 of the family's 1533-position model. The record is from RNAcentral.